This 68-nucleotide transfer RNA is filed under the name Sphaerodactylus townsendi. Its description in RNAcentral is "tRNA-Ala". It matches the Rfam family "tRNA". From Rfam's summary of the family: Transfer RNA (tRNA) molecules are approximately 80 nucleotides in length. Their secondary structure includes four short double-helical elements and three loops (D, anti-codon, and T loops). Lineage: Eukaryota; Metazoa; Chordata; Lepidosauria; Squamata; Sphaerodactylidae. The record is from RNAcentral.
GUGUGGCUCAGUGGUAAAGCAUUUGCUUGGCAAAUAGAAGGUCCCAGGUUCAAUCCCAGGCAUCUCCC